This 71-nucleotide transfer RNA is filed under the name Marmota monax (woodchuck). RNAcentral describes it as "tRNA.Ala". It matches the Rfam family "tRNA". Rfam says of the family: Transfer RNA (tRNA) molecules are approximately 80 nucleotides in length. Their secondary structure includes four short double-helical elements and three loops (D, anti-codon, and T loops). The record is from RNAcentral. Lineage: Eukaryota; Metazoa; Chordata; Mammalia; Rodentia; Sciuridae.
GGGGUUGUGGCUCAGAGGUAGAGUGCUUGUCUAGCAGGCGUGAGGUCCUGAGUUCCAUCCUCAGCACCACA